GACGAACGCUGGCGGCGUGCUUAACACAUGCAAGUCGAACGGAAAGGCUCUGCUUUUGUGGGGUGCUCGAGUGGCGAACGGGUGAGUAACACGUGAGUAACCUGCCCUUGACUUUGGGAUAACUUCAGGAAACUGGGGCUAAUACCGGAUAGGAGCUCCUGCUGCAUGGUGGGGGUUGGAAAGUUUCGGCGGUUGGGGAUGGACUCGCGGCUUAUCAGCUUGUUGGUGGGGUAGUGGCUUACCAAGGCUUUGACGGGUAGCCGGCCUGGGAGGGUGACCGGGCACAAUGGGACUUGGGUACGGCCCAGACUCCUACGGGGGGCAACAGUGGGGAAUAUUGCACAAUUGGCCGGAGCCUGGUGCAGACACGCCGGGUGCGGGAAGACGGCCUUCGGGUUGUAAACCGCUUUCGCCUGUGACGAAGCGUGAGUGACGGUAAUGGGUAAAGAAGCACCGGCUAACUACGUG
This 468-nucleotide ribosomal RNA is filed under the name uncultured bacterium. Its description in RNAcentral is "partial 16S ribosomal RNA". It matches the Rfam family "Bacterial small subunit ribosomal RNA", at positions 28 to 507 of the family's 1533-position model. The record is from RNAcentral.